AAUUAUUUUAAUAUAUAUUAUAUUUUAUUAAUAUUUAAAUUUAACCUCAAUAUUUUAUCGGGGCUCCGUUCCUUUGAAUUAAUUAAUUAACAAUGAUUUCUGACCAAAUCAAAUGGUUCAUAAUGCUUUCUUUUUCUUUCUUUUUUUUUUUCUGAGCGCAUCGCGUUGGGCAACUUUACCUUUGACUUGAAGCUGUAUUUGAAGAAAAAGCGGUUGGAUUUGCAGAUGUAGAGACAAUAUGUUCCCAUUCCAAUAUCAUAUAUUUCAAUAGAGAAAAAGAUUUUAAGCAGCAGACAAAAGCUCAAUAUUUGGACCUUUUGAAUUAUCUCACAACAAAUCAAAAGCCCAGGAAGCUGAUGGUCGAGGAUUCACCGUCGAUAGAGUGCCUAAUAUGACCACCCGAGUCUCUAGUUCUGACUUCAAGUACUCUUUCUUCUAUUAGUCCUGGCCAGAAAUUCAUUUGCUUCUACUUUCAUUAUGCUUCCUAUAAUGAAUUUGAGAGAUCCAAGGCCUUUUUCUCUAUUAAAGCUGGCCCUUUCACUCUAUUAAGAAAAUUUCAGUGCUUCAGUUGAGGCUGAUUCAAUGAGGGUUACAUCAUUUUAUAGAGAAUUCUGCUUGAAUGUAAAAGAGAAUGAGGAGUUGGACCUUGUUUUCAUCCCAUUUGUAGGAGUUAAGAAAUAGAUUAUGAAAUCACAGUAGAGUCUUGAGCAAGAA
Gossypium raimondii (Peruvian cotton) is the source of this 714-nucleotide long non-coding RNA. RefSeq lists it as uncharacterized. The record is from RefSeq and is a predicted model, not a curated record. Lineage: Eukaryota; Viridiplantae; Streptophyta; Magnoliopsida; Malvales; Malvaceae. The transcript has 2 exons.